GCUCGUUUAGUUUAGGUAAAAUAUUGAUUUGCAAAUUCACAGAGGGUGCAAUGAGCACUAUCGAGUU
RNAcentral lists this transfer RNA (67 nucleotides) under Pholas orientalis. RNAcentral describes it as "tRNA-Cys". The record is from RNAcentral. Lineage: Eukaryota; Metazoa; Mollusca; Bivalvia; Myida; Pholadidae.